UGAUGAAGGUCAUGCUGGUCAUGCAGCCUA
This 30-nucleotide non-coding RNA is filed under the name Homo sapiens (human). The record is from RNAcentral. Lineage: Eukaryota; Metazoa; Chordata; Mammalia; Primates; Hominidae.